GCUCUCCCUUUCGUCCCACUUCCUUCCAUUCCAUUGAUGAGAGAGAUCGAGGAAGCUGCGUCCCUCGCUCGCGUCUGCACACGGCAACUGGGCGUUGCGUGGGUUGGUCCAAGGAAGAAGAUGGCGAUCGAUCGAUACCCUUGGUCCCUUGCCGUUUCCUCCAUGUUAGUCUCCAUCGUCGUCGUCGUCUCCACAGCCGGCCGGAGCUCGCCGCAGUACGAGUAUGACAUGACACUUCCCCGUAUAGCACUCGACGUCGAGCUAGCCCUGCAGCUGCAGGGUGUGGAGAUAUGCGUGCGCCAUAGCUAGGACUCCUAGCUUAGCUAGGGAAGCUGCUUUGAUAGUUGGAUUGGGACAUGCUUUAGCACUCCAUUGGCUGCUUUGGGUGGUGCUGCCGCUGCCGGCCGGCAAGAGAGAGAGAGAGAGAGAGAUAGAGAGGGGCGGCUUUAGGCUGGCUAGCUAGCUAUACUACUACCCCCCAUUAGGCCAGCACUUUAGAUGCAAUAUAAAAUUUGCAUCAAAAGCUGCAUCAUCCUUUAAUCCCCUUGGGAAGUAUUCUCGCCAGUGUCUUGUGCUCCAUGUCCUUUGCAUUCCCUAGCUCCUUUUGUAGCUAGCUGUACUACUCCACAGUACUUUUUGGUGAGCAGCAGGUGGCCAUGGAGUUGUUGUGCUGUGUACUCCGAUCCUACAUGUGUUGUGCAGCUAAGCUCGCAUGCUUUGCUGCGCUGCCCCCCUCUCGAUCUCCUCUCCUCUAUAAAUCCAGCUUCUGCUCUUUCUUCUACCUCCAUCCUUCACUCCUUCGCACUGUUCUGUAUCCACCCCUAACCCUAGGUCCCUAGCUUCCUCCUCCGGCCUCCAGCCGAGAACAAGUCCGGCCGGUCAUCUUGCUGUCUUUGUUGCUGCUUACUAGCUUGUGCAUGCCCAACGUGCUCCAGUUUUGUUUCUAGCUCGCUAGCAUUAUACUGCAUGCCCAAAAUGGAACACAUGCUUUUGCUCUCUUGGUCGGUCUUCAUUCCUUGCACAGUUGCAAGCACAGUUAUGUGAAUGAGAGAGAUACAGACAGAUACAUAGAAGAGGAGCCGAAAGGUAAGCUGAUGCAAGUUUCAACUAUGUACUUCUCCUAACCAGUUUGCCAUCUUGCUGCCAGAAAUCUUUCAGGUUAUUAUGAAGUCUCAUAUGAUUUCAGUUUGUGGUUUUUAACACAUGGCCGAUUCUCUGUCUCAAGUAUAUAUCUCUAGCACGCCUGUAUGCUCCUAUAUUUGCUUCAAUAUAUACCAUUGUGAUCCCUGAAUUCCGGGUACAUACACAACUUUUUUUUUUUAUCAUCUAUUGAUCGAUACUGCAUUUUAGUCUGAAAUGAGUACAUUGACAAUGCGAUCAUGCUUUGGUUUGAUUUAUCGAUUUCUUUCUUUUUUUCUACCUGCUCGCUUUUCUUAUCUCACAGUCUUUUCUACUUAUAUAUUCUUCAGUGUUCUGAUCGAGGUAUACAGCCUUUACCCCGGCCCUUUUGUUUUUUUAAUGAAACUUUCACGCAUUUAGAAUUAGUGCUGCAAAUGGCAAACACACAAGGCCUAGUUCCUGCUAGAUUACAUGAAAGAAUAAAUCCGUUGAAAGGUGUCUGGAUUUUCAUUAAUUUCUUUUGUUCCUUGAUCCCCCCCCCCCCCCCCCCCCCAGUUCAGUUCAAUCCCUGCACUAUAUUUCAAGUAUUAGUGUUUCUCCAAUGGGACUUAUCACAUGCUCAGAUGUGGAAAGAGCUGCUUGUAUGUAGCAAAGUGAACGUUGCGAGAAGGAAUUUCUCAAAAAGGUUUUUAAGCGACCAUAUGCUUUUUCCAAAAAAGGAUAAAUUUGAAUGACAGAUCGAGCAUUAAUUUCCUGAGCGAUGUUAGUACAUAUAAGGCUUAAGGUCAUUGGGCAGUACAUUGACUGACAUUAUUCAUGUCGUUAACAUUAAUUUACUCUUGUUUGUAUGUAACUACUUGCAGAUGUGUAUGCCUAGUAGGUUUGAUUGAAAAACCUUGUGAUAAUUCUCCAAUAGGCGGUAACGACAUCUGUAGAUGCCGUGUUGUUCCCUGAGGCUUGGCUUUGGUGACCCCUUCCCAUCGUGCUUGUUGCCGCGUGCAUGUUGGCAUUAGGUUGCCGGUGCAUUGUUGGUUAUGUUUUAGUGAUGUUGUUGUGUGCCUUGCUGUCGUUGUUUCUGUUGUGUGGGUGGUUUUUGUACGUUUCUUUUAUUUCUGUGUGUUGUUGUUUGUGUAAGUUUCUUGCUCUAUAUUAAUAGAUCUCCACCGAAUUUCUUGUCGGUUGCUCUUUUGGUAAAAAAAAAAACCUUGCAGAUGUAUGCUCAUAUAUACCUUGGUUGCACUCAUGAGCUAAGUGAAUGCAAUUUUACUUCAUUCAUUAUGUAUCUUUUCUUUUUUUUUUCAUUCACCCAUUUUGGUUAGUAAGUACUCUCUUCAUCCUAAAUUAUAAGUUAUUCUAAGAAUUUUGGAGAGUCAAAAUAUCCUAAGUUUGACCAAAUUUAUAUAAGAAUAAUAAUUAUUAUGAUACCAACUAAGUAUCAUUAGAGUCUUUCUUAAUUAUAUUUUUAUAGUACUCACUUUAUGUUAUAAAUCUUAGUAUUUUUCUUUAUAAUUUUGGUCAAACUUGAAAAUAGUUUGACUCUCCAACAUUUUUAGAAUGACUUACAAUUUGAAAUGAAGGAAGUAAGAUACUCCUCCACACGAUAUUGCCAAAUUAAACACCAAGAAUAGAGCAACAUUGCAUUGCAUUUUCAUGCAAUCACAUCAUCUGACUAUCAGACGGCACCCAGCACGUAGUCAUCGGAGAGCGCGCGCAUUUAUCCGAACUCUGAACUUUCUUUUGGCAUCCAUGGCUAGUAUGAACUAGUUUUUCUCGAACACGAAGGAGAGCUUUGCAUAAGCAUCGCAAGAGUUGUUACACAUUCAUAAUGGUUGCUAGCACGAAUUACGGGUGCGCGUGCGCGUGCCGUACAUUCGUACAGGAGCAGAAAGUUGGACUGUGCCGGCAAAGUUCAUGCUCCCAGCUUUGUGCUUUGCAUUGGGGCUUUGCUGUGGGUCCUCCUGACAGAGACCGUAGUAAUAAGAAACCAAAAGGAUGUUGCGUAUAGGAUGUGCAAUGUUCAAACUUAACAGAAGCAUUUUUCCACGGUCCUUGGAAGUGUUCGAGCAGGCACUAAUAACGACGGUAUAUAUAAUGUGUGAGCUACCAGAAGAAUUUAGAGUCUGUCUAGUUCAGCUCGCUAUGAUCUGUGUUAAAACUGUUUAGUAUGAAACCUAUCUUUUAUCUCCAUUGAUUGAAACAACUAUAAAACGUCUCACUAUUUUUCACCCAUUUGAAAAAGUAGCACUGAAAUCAAAUGCAGAGGGCAAGUUGCUACAAAAAUUGUACUAAAAAAAUCAGCUACUUAUUUAAAAAAACAGCUGCUUCUAGCGGAAACACUUUUUACAAGGUGCCUUCACAAGGACAAUGAAGAACCUCUGAACAUAACUGCCUCCCAUGCUGCUUAACCGAACGAGCCGCAUACAGUUCCUUUUGUUCCAUCAGCACCACUGCACUAGCACAAAGCAGUACUAAACAGCUAGCUACUAGGCCAGUCCACCACCACAAUAAUUUGUCCAUGAUCACCAUGCUUGCUAUUGCCACUUUGGCAAGGCCCACCCCACUGCAAGCAAGGAUCACUCAUCAUCCAUGUACGUGCUAGUUCCUGCCUUUCUGGCCAGCCAGCACAGUACAGACAGGCAGCAGCCAUUGUUGCGUUGCAUGGACCACUCGAGCAGUUCAGCAGUGGCAGUAGCAGUGCUACACGGACGCAUGCAGGGAUCACUGCGACGGCAUCCACAAAGACAAAGGACCGUGCCAAGAUUUGUUUGGAGUCCUCUGAUUGGGAGGAGCACGGUGACCUCGCAUAAUUGUGGUGACAGAGACAGGAACAGGAUGAUGGAUGGCAGCUACUUCUGCUGCUUGGACGAACACACCUGCGACGAUGUUGGACGCUUUAUGAGACAACACAUCAGUGUCUCAGUUAUUCAAAGUGAUGUCACUGCCUCACUGGAGCUUGCUGAAAGUAACUGCAACAACAGUGUCGUCCGCGAAGCAGGGCAGAGAUGCAUGUGUCUUGGAUCACAUGCAUGAGCAUGUUACAAGGAAUAUAUAUGCCUUGUACUAGUCUUAAUUUCUGGAUGAUUGAUGUAUCCAAGCUAUGUCCAUAUAUGUUCACACUGACAGUACUUACAGGCAUUCAAAGGUUUGUAUGUUUGCAAAUGAAUUAAUCAGCAAGCACAAAGCCACCGCAGCAGGAUGUGGAUGGUACCAUGAAAAUAAUUGUGUCAUCAAUCCAAUAUUUGUACACACAGAAGUUGUUUCCUCAUAUGUACUUACUCCUUUGACUCAACAAUGAUGUUUGUUCUGCC
Long non-coding RNA from Sorghum bicolor (sorghum), 4427 nucleotides. RefSeq lists it as uncharacterized. Lineage: Eukaryota; Viridiplantae; Streptophyta; Magnoliopsida; Poales; Poaceae. The transcript is spliced from 2 exons. The record is from RefSeq and is a predicted model, not a curated record.